GUGCUCACUCCGGCAGCACAUAUACUAAAAUUGGAAUGAUAUAGAGCAGAUCAGCAUGGCCCCUGCGCAAGGAUGACAUGCAAAUUCAUGAAGUGUUCCAUAUUUUG
Small nuclear RNA from Balaenoptera musculus (blue whale), 107 nucleotides. The record is from Ensembl. NCBI's taxonomy places the organism in Eukaryota, Metazoa, Chordata, Mammalia, Artiodactyla, Balaenopteridae.